UUAAUUUUUCUCCCCUUUUAUAAAAUGGUAUAACGUUCAAUUAAUUAUUUUUCUACCCCACUUUUCUUCCAAGGAGUUCAAGUGGCAUACAGAGUUCUCCCCCUCCAUAUUUUAUCCUCACAUGAAGCAUGUGAGGUAGCCCUGGGAUGACCUACCCCUGCUUCAAAUCAGGCGUAAGGAACUUGGGACCCACCAGAUGUUGCUAAACUCCAGGUUCCUCACCUAUCAGAUGCCUUUCUUGCUUUUGAUCUCUGCUUUCAUUACCCAAUUGAAGAUGAAAAAGGAAAGGAAAGGAAAGCCGCCUAUGUGGUGCGAAUCUGAACAUCCAGCAAAAACCAACCACCAAAUGAUGUGUGGACCCAAACACCGUCCAAUGCCCUGGCUCAUUAUGACUUUAUGGGAUACCAUGUAAAUGCCACACAAAAUGUCCAGUAUGUCUCCAGUGAUGCCUAAUCCAAUUUUUCCCCCCUCUUGGGUAAGUAGCAGGAAAACUGUUUCAGCUUGAGGUUCAUAUUCCCCCAUGGCCAGAUUGCCAGUGAUGGCAGGGGACAUAGACCAAAGUGAUCAAUUGAUGUGGCUCUUAUUUUUGUACUGCAUAAAUUGAAGGUUUGCACACACACACACACACACACACACACACACACCCCUCCAUCAAUGACGAGCAAGAGGCAUCAGAUCAAGGACACAUUCCAUUCAAGCAAAAACAUUCAAGGAGGAAAAGAGAAGGGUUGGUGAGAAUUAGAUUACUGCAACACAUUAUUCAUGGUGCUGCCUCUGAAGACAGUUUGGAAUCCAGCUGGGGCAGAAUUCAGCAUCCAGGUGGCUCACCUGAGCAAGACAGUUUGAGCAUAUAAUACCAAUACUUGCUAGACUGCAUUGGCUGCCAUUUCAAAGGGCUGGUUUUGACCCAUAAAACUUAAAACAGCUCAGGACUGCAAUAACUCAAUGACUGCCUCUCCCCACAUGAUUGAACCAUGGACCCUGCAGAUCACCCUCUGAAGCUGUUCUUCAUGUGCCUCCUCUAUGAAAGGUCCAGAAGUUGGCAAUAUGAAAACAGGCCCUUUCUGUGGUGGCUCCCCAUUUGUGGAAUGCUUUCCAUAGGGAAGCUCACCUGGCACCUUCAUUGAAUAUCGUUACGCACCAGGUGAAAAAUAUACUUCUCCCAGACCUUUGUCUAAUUAAAUAAUCUAUGGCCUUUUAAACUGUGGAAGGGGAUCUUUGUUUUGUUUUUCAUAACAUUACAUAUUUUUAUGUUUUUAUAUCAUAAACCACUCUGUGGUCCUUACAUGAAGGGUGGUAAUGGUAAGGGUGAGAGGCAUGGUUAGGAAGAGCCUUGAGGAACAGAUAGCAGGGCAUAGAGGGCUGCAUUUGGCCCUAGGUCUGAGGUCUGGAAGAGAGAAUGAAAUUCCUGUGUUUAACUUCUACUUCAUUUUCCUUAAAACAAAACAAAAAUACCAAGUAUUUUUACUGCAGUAAUAGUCCCACUGAAUACACAAUGAUCCAAUAUUUUGAAGUGAAAGAGCAGAGCAUGAUGGUAAUUACAGUUUCCUUAUGAAACUUUGGGUUCUCUUAUGGGGGCGGGGAUGUGCAAAGGACCAUUGUUUCAUGGCAAGCAACAAGUAAGACAAAAUAUCACUCAGAGGUUUCACAAUAAAACAUUUCAGGAAAGAGAAACAGAGCAUCAUGAUGCUCUGACCCAGUUGUGGGCACCCAUGAGUAAGCUGGCUAACCUCAAUAGGAGUCAAAGUCAAUCAUAACCAUGGACAGAUCAUGUGUGGAACUAGUUACA
Long non-coding RNA from Podarcis muralis (Common wall lizard), 1789 nucleotides. NCBI's taxonomy places the organism in Eukaryota, Metazoa, Chordata, Lepidosauria, Squamata, Lacertidae. The record is from Ensembl.